GGCAGCAAGACAGCGAUGUUAAGCAAAACUCAAAAAGCCUGUCCCAGUUCGGAUUGCACUCUGCAACUCGAGUGCAUGAAGUUGGAGUUGCUAGUAAUCGUGGAUCAGAAUGCCACGGUGAAUGCGUUCCCGGGUCUUGUACACACCGCCCGUCACACCAUGGAAGUUGGCAAUACCCGAAGCCUGUGAGCUAACCUUUUGG
Molecule: ribosomal RNA, 202 nt
Filed under: uncultured Pelagophyceae
Lineage: Eukaryota; Pelagophyceae
Description: partial Bacterial small subunit ribosomal RNA
Rfam family: Bacterial small subunit ribosomal RNA
Source: RNAcentral